GAGCUUUUGAUUUUGCCGUUUGAUUAGGGACUUUCCGUUUUGAAUUUUUCGGUAUUUUUGUUAUUUUACUUUUUAAAUGUAUUGCCAGUUAUCUGGUUUUCAUCAUUCGUCUUAGCUAGAUAUUGUAUCAUUCCAAUUGUGCCCUAGGCCUUUUAACACUAGUAAGGAAGUGAAUACAAUAACAAACGUGAAAAGAUUACGAACCUCAGAGCCAGGAAGGACCUAAACCUUUCAAGUAUGAUUCAACAGAGAUAACGAACCUCAGUGCCAAGAAGGACCUAACCCUUUCAAGUAUGAUUCAACAAAGAUGCGGUAUAUGUGUCAGUUAUUCAACAAAGAUGCGGUGUAUGUGACAAUGAUUCAACAGAAAUGCGGUAUAUGUGUCAAUGAUUCAACAGAGAUGCGGUGUAUGUGACAAUGAUUCAACAGAAAUGCGGUGUAUGUGUCAAUGAUUCAACAGAAAUGCGGUGUAUGUGUCAAUGAUACCACAGAGAUGCGGUGUAUGUGUCAAUGAUUCAACAGAGAUGCGGUGUAUGUGUCAAUGAUUCAACAGAGAUGUGGUGUAUAUGUCAAUGAUUC
This 579-nucleotide long non-coding RNA is filed under the name Mytilus galloprovincialis (Mediterranean mussel). Lineage: Eukaryota; Metazoa; Mollusca; Bivalvia; Mytilida; Mytilidae. The record is from RNAcentral.